This 1590-nucleotide long non-coding RNA is filed under the name Homo sapiens (human). RNAcentral describes it as "HSALNT0308534". The record is from RNAcentral. Lineage: Eukaryota; Metazoa; Chordata; Mammalia; Primates; Hominidae.
CAACUGUGUUCAGCCCUUUUCCCUUUCUGCCCUCUGCCAUGUGAGGUCACAGUGUUCCUCCCUCCUGAGGAUGCAGUGUUCAUGAAAGCAAACACUGGGCCCUCACCAGGCAACAAACCUGCUGGUGCCUUCAUCUUGGACUUCCCAGCCUUCGGAACUGUUAAGAAGCUCCACUGCGCUUUGUCCAUUGCAAGUUGAGAAGUGAGGCCCCAGCUGUCACAUACAGUGAGUGAAGAAGCUGAGCUUCCCUCAACGCCUGGGCCUGUAUGAAUUUUUUUUUUUUUUUUUUUUUUGGAGACGGAGUCUCACUUUGUUGCCCAGGCUGGAGUGCAAUGGCACUAUCUCAGGCCACUGCAACCUCUGCCUCCCAGGUUCAAGCGAUUCUUCUGCCUCAGCCUCCUGAGUAGCUGGGAUUACAGAAGUGCACCAUUACAGCUUGCUAAUUUUUGUAUUUUUAGUAGAGAAGGGUUUUCACCAUGUUGGCCAGGUUGGUCUCGAACUCUUGGCCUCAGGUGAUCCGCCCGCACAGCCUCCCAAAGUGUUGGGAUUACAGGCGUGAGCCACUGCGCCCGGCCUUAGGUAAGUUCCUUUUUUUUUUUUUUUGAGACGGAGUUUCACUCUGUUGCCCAGGCUGGGGUGCAAUGGCAUGAUCUCGGCUCACCGCAACCUCUGCCUCCUGGGUUCAAGCAAUUCUCCUGCCUCAGCCUCCUGAGGAGCUGGGAUUACAGGCAUGCACCAUCAUGCCCGGCUAAUUUUGUAUUUUUAGUAGAGACGGGGUUUCUCCAUGUUGAGGCUGGUCUCAAACUCCUGACCUCAGGUGAUUCACCCGCCUCGGCCUCCCAAACUGCUGGGAUUAUAGGCAUAAGCCACCGCGCCCGGCCUUAGGCUCCAUCACAAGAGGGAGCCCCAUUGCUAGUCCCCAUCCUCAAAGCCUCUGCGUGAUGUUGUCUACUGUUACUCUUCACUACCCUGUGGGAGCCAAAGCCCUGGACAUAAGAACAGAAGGCAAGCAGUGGUGGCUGAGAGGAAGAACUGACACCUUUGUGCUAUCAGAGCACUUUGCAGAGGAGCUGUUAGUGGCCCUGUAGGAGUCUGCUGGCCAUACAUCUGGGUGUCAAAUCAAGAGAGCAUGAGAAGUUGGACAGGAAAGGUCCAAGGCAAAAUGGUUACUAAAGGCCAUCCCUGAUCCUGACCCUAAAAGAAGAAAAGGCCCUUUGCUCUUGGCAUGCUUUUGCAGGAGUGUCUCAGUCUGUUUGGGCUGCUAUAACAUUGACUGGGUGAUCUGCCUGCCUGGCCUCCCAAAGUGCUGGGGUUACAGGUGUGAGCCGCUGCACCAGGCCUUGAGGUCAGGAGUUCGAGACCAGCCUGGCCAACAUGGUGAAACCUGUCUUUACUAAAAAUACAGAAAUUAGCCAGGCAUGGAGGCGCAUGCCUGUAAUCCCAGCUACUGGGGAGGCUGAGGCAGGAGAAUCGCUUGAACCCAGAAGGUGGAGGUUGCGGUGAGCCCAGAUAGUGCCAUUGCACUCUAGCCUGGCCAACAAGAGUGAAACUCUGUCUCAAAAAAUAAAUAAACAAACAAACAAACAACAA